AUUUCUCUGACCUCAGUCUGUGUUCCAGCUCUUUCCAUGCCUGAAGGAAAAUCCAAGGACUUUUAGGAUCUGAAUCUAAGAAGUUUGGGUUGCCCUUGAUGUCUGGGAAGAGCAGUUGUUGCAUUUUUCAUCAAUAUCACAAGGCUCAUCUUUAGCUGAUACGUUCAGAUUCGCAGGUUGAUGCUGAUACUGUUAGUCUGUGAGCAUACUAAGUAGUAACACCUCAUAGUGGCUGUAAUUCUAGACCUCGGUUGCAGAGCACUUCAGAUCAGCCCCUUCUUCCUACAUACGUAUCCUCGAACUUCCCCCUCUCACCACUCAACUAAAGCCUAAACUGACACGAAGAGGAAGAUAUCACCCACCGGAGUCUUUGGUGACCCAGACUUGAAUUCUAAAUUGAUUCCGGCUAGGAUAAGUUAUCUAAGCUGGCUGCACCUCGAUUAUCUCAUCUAUAGAGUGAACACAGUCACCUUAACUAACAGGGUAUUUGCAAAAUAACAUAAAUGAAACUGAUGCCAAGAAUGGAGCCCACACUUCAAAACAGUGGUUCUCAACCUAGGGCUUGGAAGAUGUUCAAUAUGCGUCAACAUCUACCUUUCCUUCUUGAAUGAAAAAGACAGAAAAGAAGAAGGAGAGGCAAUGAUAGGAUCUUCAGUGGAUAACCAUGAAUAAAAUUCCUGGCUGUGAUGGUAGAAGCAUCAAAAUCAAGAGUCUCAAACUCAAAUGCCAGUAGAAGCUGGGCAAGUAAUAUUAAUAAGCAAAGCACCCCAGGGACAAAGAAAAAAGAAUACAACAGACACUGGCAAGACAAUAGAAAUGCUUCAAAUAUCUAUUAUCGUGGUAGAAGACAAAUAGCUGCACACCCACAAGAAAAAUGGCUUCUUGCCACUCCACCUUGGGUUCUUGAAGCAAUGGAAGAUGAUGGGGACGGGACUCAGCUGGAAAGAGCUGCCGCCUCCGGCAUGCUCUCCACCUGACAGUCAUCAUGUGACACAAAAUGAAAGGCCCAGCAUUGCCAGAUC
This is a long non-coding RNA of Balaenoptera musculus (blue whale), 1022 nucleotides long. RefSeq lists it as uncharacterized. The record is from RefSeq and is a predicted model, not a curated record. NCBI's taxonomy places the organism in Eukaryota, Metazoa, Chordata, Mammalia, Artiodactyla, Balaenopteridae. The transcript has 4 exons.